AAUAAGUGUAGUUUUUACACUGUUUAUGUCUAACGUUUGACCAUUCGUCUUAUUUAAAAAAAUAUGUUUAGUAUUUUUGUUGUUAUUAGAUGAUAAAACAUGAAUAGUACUUUAUGUGUGACUAUUUUUUUUUAAUUUUUUCAUACAUUUUUCAAAUAAGACGGAUGGUCAAAACAUUGGACACGGAUAUCUAUGGUUGCACUUAGG
Non-coding RNA from Oryza nivara, 207 nucleotides. NCBI's taxonomy places the organism in Eukaryota, Viridiplantae, Streptophyta, Magnoliopsida, Poales, Poaceae. The record is from Rfam.